Non-coding RNA from Coturnix japonica (Japanese quail), 265 nucleotides. The record is from RefSeq and is a predicted model, not a curated record. Lineage: Eukaryota; Metazoa; Chordata; Aves; Galliformes; Phasianidae.
GUAAUGCCGGAGCCUGAUCUGUACCAAGGACAAAAUAUGGAGGAUCAAUAUGCGAAGACUAAAGGGCAGCCACACUGUGAAUCUCCGCUCCUAUUUCAGAAUUAUUUUAAUUAUCCAAGGCUGGAUCCCCCAUCACAAAGCUCAGGCAGUACAUAUCACUGCAAGCUGGCAAUUGCCCCUUGAAAGAGAGGACUUCUUGAUUCAAAAGACUUUCUGUCCAUCCUUGCGUCUGACUGACAAUACACAGCAAAUCUGUUGUGCUGGA